UGGGGAAUAUUGGACAAUGGGCGAAAGCCUGAUCCAGCCAUGCCGCGUGUGUGAAGAAGGUCUUCGGAUUGUAAAGCACUUUAAGUUGGGAGGAAGGGCAGUAAGCGAAUACCUUGCUGUUUUGACGUUACCGACAGAAUAAGCACCGGCUAACUCUGUGCCAGCAGCCGCGGUAAUACAGAGGGUGCAAGCGUUAAUCGGAAUUACUGGGCGUAAAGCGCGCGUAGGUGGUUCGUUAAGUUGAAUGUGAAAGCCCCGGGCUCAACCUGGGAACUGCAUCCAAAACUGGCGAGCUAGAGUAGGGCAGAUGGUGGUGGAAUUUCCUGUGUAGCGGUGAAAUGCGUAGAUAUAGGAAGGAACACCAGUGGCGAAAGCGACCACCUGGGCUCAUACUGACACUGAGGUGCGAAAGCGUGGGGAGCAAACAGG
Molecule: ribosomal RNA, 429 nt
Filed under: Pseudomonadota bacterium
Lineage: Bacteria; Pseudomonadati; Pseudomonadota
Description: Proteobacteria bacterium partial 16S ribosomal RNA
Rfam family: Bacterial small subunit ribosomal RNA
Source: RNAcentral